GCCCCUGUUAUAUCUUACAGACUGUCACAGAAUCCUUGCUGCUAACGGAUUCUGCUUACCUUUCACAAUAAGCAAUUAACAGAUUCCUUCUGAUUUUCCACAUUGUUUCCUCACAGUGAAACAUACUGUAUCAUUUGUUGGCUAUUAUUUCGUCAUGGUGAUGAAUGACCUGUGAUGUACAUUUUGUGUAUUUGUAUUUUGUCACGGUGAUGUAACCUAUGUUACCGCUUUCUGUGAACAUUGCUCCACU
Molecule: non-coding RNA, 250 nt
Organism: Pelobates cultripes (western spadefoot toad)
Lineage: Eukaryota; Metazoa; Chordata; Amphibia; Anura; Pelobatidae
Source: the annotation of a GenBank genome assembly